AGUUUGAAGAACCUCUUUAAACUCUGAAGGAAACAUUUUAAAUAACAGAAGCAAAAUAUUUUUGAAAAAAGAACUCUAAAAUUGCUAGAAGUGAGUUGGUGCAAAGAAUAGAAUUGCUUACAGAGCAAGAAGAAAGCCUACGAUUGAACCUGGAACAUCUUUUUGGGUGGUAUUAACUGGAGUUGUUUUCUUCGUAGGUUUUACUUUCCUUCUCAUGAUGCCAGAAGUACAUUUGGUACCAGGAUAAGAAAUUCCUGUUCCUCUUUGUUGUUUUCACACUUGAAAUGUUUGUGGAGGGUUAUUGGAUCCCCCCUGGGUCCCUCAUGCUGUGCCUCUGCCAAGGUGGAGACGUUCACUGCUUUAUAAUCUUUCCAGGCUGUGUGUUCUCCCAGGCUCUCACAUAGCCACCCGAGUCAUUGCAGCUCUUCUCUAGAUUAAUUGUGUUUUAUUUUCAGCCAGCUGAUAAUCUUCAGGGACAGAAAACCAGAUAUUCCAAGGGGAGUCCUGUUGAUGACCCAGUUAGCGAGCGAUCUUGACUGAGGCUGUUUUGGAGGGAGUGGCCCAUAUGCAUGAGAUAUUUAAGCAGCAUGCCUUUAAAGAGAAGAUCUUACUUCAUGUUAUCAUAACAAGUUUAGUUUUUGGCCUUGGGUUUCUCCUCUCUAGUUGCCAAGAUUUUUUGAAAAUCAUUUUCCAAGGUUAACUUUGCAGCACAUUCACAUUUUCCAAGAACUUUCUAAGCAGUUCUACAUGAAUGUUGUUCCUUUUUAAUUGUUGAAAUCCCAAG
This 784-nucleotide long non-coding RNA is filed under the name Bos taurus (domestic cattle). RNAcentral describes it as "long non-coding RNA NONBTAT022710". The record is from RNAcentral. Lineage: Eukaryota; Metazoa; Chordata; Mammalia; Artiodactyla; Bovidae.